GAACGCUUUCUCCCUCUUCUUUCCCUCUCUACUGUUUUUUCUCUCGGUGUGUUUGCUCCAGCUAUGGCGAGAGGGAGGGGACGCCCCCGGAAACAAGUGGCUCAGAAGCGUUGUCCGUCCUCUUCUUCCUCUAAAGGGUCGGUGAGUUCGGCCUCUGCAUCUACUCAGCAAACUACGGUGGUUUCAAGCCCGAUUUUGGAGAAUAAGGUGUUGAGUCCCCGUUCGUCUUUGGUGCAUUUCCAAUCGCAUAACCUCUAUGCAACCUGGGCUGCGGCGAUGAAUGGAGGUUUAUCUAGCAGCCCCUCUGGUCCAGGAGCUGGUGGUGCGGUGGUUACUAAUGAUCCAGUCCCUCAGAGUUCUAUUGUUCCAUUGGAGGCUGCUUUAAGGAAUGCUUCAAUGGUGGGUUCUCAACAGCUUACUGCUUUGGUGACUCGAUCUCCCAGUGCUAUGAUGAAUCCAAAUCCCGUUGUUGCGGUGAAUCGAAGCCCAGAUGUUGUGGAGAUGUCUGGUUCUAGGGUUUCUGGUUCGAUGCUUAAUCCAAUCAACAAGAAUCCUUUACACAAUCCUGGUGCUACUGUUCUCCCACAUAAACAAGAAUCAGGUACUCCCCUUGCUCCACCUGCACCUAUUAAGAUCUCUUAUAAAGAUGUGGUUGAUGAAAUUAAAUUUUGGGAGACAUCUGUUAUUUGUGAUGUGCUUGGUGCAAACCCUCCUUAACAUGUGAUUGAAGGUUUUGUUAAACGUAUAUGGAAUCCUUUGGAAAUUGAUAAGGUUGGGACUGUUGCCUAAGGGGUCUUUCUUGUACGUCUGAAAUCUCAUGAGGCUCUUACAAUUGCUUGUGACUCUAAUGGAAUAUUAUUUGAUAAAAAGCCUUUUAUUGUGAAGCCAUGGUCUAAGAAUGAUUCUUAUGAGAAGGAGAAUAUUACUACUAUCCCUGUUUGGGUGAGAUUUCCUAGUUUGAGUAUGCAUUACUGGGGUGACCGUUGCUUGAGUAUGAUUGCGAGAAUGUUGGGUAAAGUCAUACGUAUUCAUAAUGUGACCCAUAAUAAAGAUCGAAUGCAAUUUGCUAGAGUUUUGGUGGAAUUGAACAUUAAGGAGGGCUUUCAUGACAUGUUAUCUUUUACCAAUGAGGAUGAUGAGUUGAUGACUGUGUCUGUUCAAUAUGAUUGGAAACCACAACUGUGCUGCAAGUGUAUUCAGCUGGGGCCAUGCAAAGGAGGCUUGUCGUAUGGGAAUUGUGAGGCAAUGGGUCCCUAAACGUGUGGCACCUCUUCUUCUUCUUCUUCUUCGGUUCCUAUUGUUGAUGAUGAUGGUUUCCAAACUGUUCCUACAAAGACGUUUGUUCCUAGUGUUCCACCGGAAUCCAUUAUAGCUGCUACCUUUCUAGUACAAGUAAUGGGUUAGAGAUUUUGGAGAAUGUUACGGCGGUGACUACUACGUCCCAUGAUGAUCUUAUAGGGCUGGGAGCUAUAUCCCAUCCUCCUAAUGCAUAACAUCCUUUCUUGGAAUAUAAGGGGGCUAAAUCUCGCUAGGAAACGAUUGGGGGUGAUUAAGUUUAUCUCUGACAAUAAUAUUAGCUUGUUUGGCCUCCUUGAGACUAAGAUCAAGCGCUCUGGGUCCUUCUUGGUGUUUAACCAAUAAUCUUUCGUAUCAUAUACAUGGUAGGAUUCUUGUGGGUUGGAACCCUGCUCAUUUGAAGGUUGAUGUUCUUUUCUGUAGUAGUCAACUCAUCCAUUUGGCUGCUACUCUUGAUCGUGGUAGUUCGUUCUUCUGUUCCUUUGUUUAUGGUUUUAAUGACAAAAAUGGCAGAUUAGCUAUGUUUCAACAGUUGGCUGAUUUAUUGUGUGCUGGUCCUUGGAUUGUUUUAGGGGAUUUUAACUGCUUAGCUAAUCUCAAUGAAAGACAAGACAACUUGUCCAGUUACAUGAGAUUCAACCUCUUUGACAUUGUUUGUCUUUGUGUAGUCUGCAUGAUACGAAUAGUAAUGGUCGUUUCUUUACUUGGAAUAAUAAACAGGCUGGCUCCAAAUGGGUGUUCAGUAAGAUUGAUAGAGCUUUGUGUAAUACCCUGUGGGAGGAUGCUUAUCCUCAUGUUGAGGAUGUUUGGCGUACACAUGUCCCUGGCCACUUGAGCUAUCAAAUUCAGCAAAAAUUGAAUGUUUUGAAGCAUAGUCUGAGGAAACAUUUCCAUCACACACCCCUCCAGAAAACUCUCCAUCAGGUUGAAGCAGAGUUUGUUGAUAUUCAAGAGAAAAUUCAUGGGGAUCCUGGUAACACUGCUCUGGUUAAUAGGGAGAUUGAUUGUGCUCAUAGACUAAAAGUAAUUAAAUCGGAACUCACUUCCCUGUUGCAACAAAGAGCUAAGGUGAAUUGGCUAAAGUAUAGAGAUGAUAACACCGCGUUCUUUCAUAAUAGCAUCAAACAUAGAUCAUCCCAUAACAAGAUUAACACACUUGUGAUUGAUGGGAUUACUGUAAGUAAUCCUAUUUCUAUUAAACAGGCUUUUCUGUCAUUUUACUCUGACACUGGUCCUAUACUGUCAAUUAGUAUGCACUCUUGUUUGAAUCUGUCCUUUAGUGCAGAGGAAAUUAAAGAUGCCAUGUGGAGUAUUGAUGAUAAUAAAGCCCCUGGUAUUGAUGGUUAUAAUAGUAAAUUUUAUAAAGCUGCUUGGCAUAUUAUUGGUAAGGACAUUGUAGAGGCUAUUCAACUAUUUUUUAGUAAUGGCCAGCUUCUAAAGAAUUGCAGUGUUACUGCUAUCACUUUGAUUCCUCAAGUUCCAUGUCCUUCUAGCCCAGGGGAUUAUAGACCUAUUUCUUGCUGCUAUGUGAUUUAUAAGUGUAUUUCUAAGCUUGUGUGUAUGCAGCCUAAGAAGGUGCUUGGGGGGAUCAUUAGCCAAUCACAGAGGCUUUUGUAGCUAGGAGAAGUAUUGCUCAUAAUAUUCUUCUUUGCCAGGACUUGGUUAAACACUACACUAGGAAGAGUUGUUCUCCUAGUUGCCUUAUAAAAGUGGAUCUUCAAAAAGCUUAUGACACUCUUGAUUGGAAUUUUAUACAUGACAUACUUGUGGCUCUUAUCUUUCCCUAUCAUUUCAUCAAAAUUGUUAUGACCUGCAUCUCCACCACAAGUUAUACUUUAUUGGUGAAUGGUGAGCCUUUUGAGAUUUUCCACCCUAAACGCGGCCUUCGACAAGGGGACCCUAUGUCUCCUCUCUUAUUUGUUAUAGGGAUGGAAUAUUUAUCAAGAAUGUUGAAUGUUGUGAGUUAAGUUGAUUCUUUCCAUUUCCAUCCUCGAUGUAAGCGGUUGAAACUGAACCAUUUGUGUUUUGCUGAUGAUCUUAUGCUUUUUUCCAAGGGAGAAGAAGGUUCAAUCCAACUUCUUUGUCAGUGUUUGGAUAAAUUUGCUAUGUUUUCUGGUUUGUAUACUAAUCAUCCUAAAUCAGCUAUCUAUUUAGCUGGUGUUCCCCUUCCUGGGAAAGUUCAGCUUGCUGCACGGAUGAAUCUGCCACUUGGUACGCUUCCUUCACAGCAAAAAAAAUCUCUGUCGCUGAUUGUGAUGUUUUGAUUGAUAAAAUGACGGCUCGUUUGAGACUUUGGUAUUGUUAGAAUCUAUCCUAUGCUGCUAGAUUAUAAUUCAUCACUUCAGUGUUGAUGGGGAUGACUUCCUAUUGGUGCUAGCUGUUCAUUCUUCCACGUGAUAUCAUCAAGAAGGUCAAUAUUAUUUGUAGAGCUUACUCAUAGCAAGGAGAUAUUAAUAAUAGCUUUAAGGGUAAUGUUGAUUGGAAUUUGGUUUGUCGACCUAAAAAAUGUGGUGGUCUGGGUGUUAGAAAUCUUGAUGCCUGGAACACAGUAGUUGUGGGUAAAUUGUCUUGGCAUAUCAGCUCUAUGCAGGAAUCCUUAUGGGUGCGGUGGAUCCAUGGUGUAUAUACGAAAGGUACGAACUGGAUGAUCUUUAACCCCCCUAUUACUGCUAGUUGGUCUUUGAAAAAGAUUUGUGCUAUGAGAGAUAAACUGAGCACUUGGAUGUUACAGGAGAAAUAUGUGAUUAAUGAGAUUUAUCAUCUUUAUGUUGUGCCCAAUCCUAGAGUGAAAUAGGACAAGUUUGUUUGGAAUAGGCUCUCUAUUUCCAUAGCACGUUUUAUCUUAUGGCUCAUCAUGUGUAGGAAGCUUAAAACCCGUGAUUAAGCUUCACCGUAUAGGGGUAGUUACCGAUGCUACUUGCCCCAUGUGCAGUUUAUGCUAUGAAUCUGUGGAACACAUCUUUUUUCAAUGCCCUUAUAGCCAACAAUGUCUUCAAUGCUUGCAGAAGUGGCUGGGAGUACAUCUUCCAAUAGAUUUUCAUAAGCUUGCUCGCAAGAAUCGGAGAACCUCAAAGUACAAGAAGGCCUUCAUCAUCACAUGUAUUUGUAGCCUAGCUUAUUUGAUAUGGAAGGCGAGAAAUGAUUCAAUCUGGCGUCUUAGUAUGAGUACAGUUGAUUGUCUUAUGAAGCAGCUUAUCUAUGAUGUGAAGAUUAGCUUUUCUAGUCUUUUUCCUUUGGAAAGUUGUAAAACCUGGUUUAUAGAGCUUUUUGUUGAGUAGGCUUUGUAUAGAUGCUCUUUUGAGUCUCUUCUCACCUUUAUGCAUAUGAAGAGUAAAGUGGUUCAACCGUUCCUAAAAGGUGGGUUCUACUUUCAUACUGAUGCAAUUUUCUAAAGGUGUGUAAGUUGUCUCUGAUUGUAUUGUUUGUCUUUGUUUGGAUUAAUGGAAAUUUCUCUUUGUCCAAAAAAAAUAAUACAAAAUGUAAAAUAACAAAAAAAAAAAAAA
This is an RNA transcript of Amaranthus tricolor (Joseph's coat), 4799 nucleotides long. RefSeq lists it as uncharacterized. The transcript has 2 exons. The record is from RefSeq and is a predicted model, not a curated record. Lineage: Eukaryota; Viridiplantae; Streptophyta; Magnoliopsida; Caryophyllales; Amaranthaceae.